UAGGUUGGAAUGAACCAAAAGAUUUGUAGACCAAUAGAUGCCGUCAGCUUUUCCAUUACAUUGACCGCGUCAACCCGCAUAGGACAGGGAAGAUGAAACUGUAAAGUAUCAAGUUACCAUAGGGGGUUUUAGGGGAGAAGGAGAUUGGCAGCUGCAUCGAGGAGGAGAUAUGGUUAAUAGUGGUCUCCGUCGUCCUUCCCUCUACAAAACAUAAAAAUUCCCUUCGAAGAAAAUUGAAAUCUGCAAACGAUAGGUCAUUUUGAGAAUGGCCGUUCAAACGAAAUUACGACCUGUCCGAGUUUCAGAUGUUGCGAAAUAUGAUGGACGAAAUAAGGCAAAACUUUUGGUCUCGGGUGGAAUCAGGAAUGGCGUCGAGUGUGGUGAAAUCCCUAAUCAAAUCAUCUUCCUCACACCGCCAAAUGGAUGCAGAGUGCUUGUAGUAUGAGGCUGGAGGACACGAUGGAGCUGCUGGAAAAGAAGCUAGCGUCAGAUGAGCUUAGAGGAGGCACUCACUCUCGCUCGUGUUUUCAGCCAUUACCUCAAUUUGAUGGGCGUUGCUGAAGUUCAUCACAGGGUUCGUAGACAAAAGAAUGUGGCAUCCCUAUCAAAAUCUUGUGAUGAUAUUUUUAAUCAGCUUCUCAGCAUGGUGUUUCCCGAGACCAUCUUUACGAUACCGUUUGCAAGCAGGUGCGAGAGAUAACUUCUGUAUGGCAAACAGAUGAGCUUAGACACCAUAAACCCACACCAGGUUAUGAAGCUAGGGCAGGUUUGAACAUUGUGGAGCAGCCCCUUUGGAAAGCUGUACCUCAUUAUUUACGUCAUGUCAGCAAUGCUUUAAAGAAGCACACUGGGAAACUGGAAAACCACUUCCGUUGAAAUGCACACCAAUCAGGUUUGGGUCUUGGAUAGGGGUUGAUCAAGAUGGAAAUCCCAAUGUGACAGCAAAGGUACUCGUGGGUCUUAUUGAUAUUUUAUUCAUAAAUCUUCUCCUAAUGGUAGUAUUUACUCUCUUAAAUCUAGGAGAGACCUUUCAUGUCAACAAAAGACCUGAAGCAUGAACUAAUCAUAACUUUGGGAUAUAUUAGAUCUGUGUUAUACAUAACUUAGUUUACUGUAUUGGUAAUGGUGUUGGUAAUUCAUGGGGCAGUAAAUCAUGUUUUGAGGGCAAUAAAGCAAGCCCUCGUACUUAGAAUCAAUUACUUAACUGUACGGAGACAUUGAUGGAUAAGCAUGACUUAGUUGUGUAAAGUUUUAGACCAUCAGUUUAACCUUCAUUUCUGCUAUCCCUUCCCUGUUCUUUUUUUUGGGGUAUGAGAGAGGAGGUUUUAGUUUUAAGGAUUCCAGUUUGCUGCCAGAAUUCAUGAUUAGAUUGCAAACUUAAGAUUAUUGUUUAUGUAGAAUUUAUAAUGCUGUCAGACUGUCUAGCUCUUCUACACAAUUAUGUCAACUUGCCUCUUUCUAUUGCUUCCGGUCACAAAAGAUGUCUCGCUUUUAUCUAGGUGGAUGACUAUUGAUCUCUAUAUUAGAGAAGUGGAUAGCCUGAAAUUUGAACUAUCCAUGAAUUAGUGCAGCGAUAGCUUGUCAAAACUGGCACAAGAGAUUCUAGAGCACGAAUGCAAUGUUGGUCAUCUUCACUAUCCCAGAAUUGAAAUGUUGGUCAUUUUAACUGAAGAUUGCAUUGGGGCAGGAAUCUGGUAGACAUGCUGAAACACUUAAUGCAAUUACCAAAUAUUUGGAUAUGGGCACAUACAGUGAGUGGGAUGAAGAAAAGAAACUGGAAUUUCUAACAAGAGAGUUCAAAGGAAAAAGAUGCUAGUCCCACCUAGCAUGGAGGGUACUCUACGAUCAACUGAGCAAGGAGAAAUGGUACGGUCAAAAUUUGGGCUACCACAGAUUGCAGUUAGACAGCUAGAGGUGUAUUGCUUGCAACGUUGCGUCCACCACACCCUCCUCAAGAACAAAAGUAGCGUAACCACAUGGAGGAGAUCUCAAAGAUCAGUUGUCAGAAUUUACUGGAGCGUAGUCUACAAAAAUCCAGAAUUCCUUACUUACUUCCAAGAGGCUACAUCCCAGGCUGAGCUUGGCUUCCUCAACAUAGGAAGCCGCCCCUCAAGAAGAAAGAGCUCUACUGGAAUUGGGCAUCUUCGGGCAAUUCCAUGGGUGUUUGCAUGGACUCAAACUAGAUUUGUUCUUCCAGCUUGGGUUGGAGUUGAACCAGCUUUAAGGUGGGGUUUGUGAGAAGGGUUUUAUUUGAAACCUUCUGUUAGAAUCAUUAGUAUUCAGAUCUUUGGUUGAUGCCCUACCGACCCAGAAUGUUGAUGGGAAUUCACAUUUUUGACUGCUAGUAUCAUCUUUGGAGCAUAAUUGUUUGCUGUUGUAUGAGAUGAAUUCAAUUCACCAUGCCCUACUGAAGAGAUUUCUGCUUAAAGUUUUCAUUUGGUAGAAGAAAAACUAGUAUAUCUAGAAUGAGAUUAGCAGUCUAAUUAUGCUCCACCCUUGUACGAGUUUGUAAUUACUUAGGUCAUUGCAUAUUUUUGACAAGUGCUGCUACUGGCUAUUUGUUCUGUUGGAUAGUUUUGGUGUUUAGCAGUAGAUAGUAGCUUGGAUGUUUAACAGGAGCUGCUAUGCCAUCUGUUCUGUUUCAUUUUUAUGCUUUCAUCUUAAAAUUGAGUUAAGUAUAUUCAUCUUUU
This is an RNA transcript of Rosa rugosa (rugosa rose), 2690 nucleotides long. It is a transcript of the gene named phosphoenolpyruvate carboxylase 4-like, with no coding region annotated. The transcript has 8 exons. Lineage: Eukaryota; Viridiplantae; Streptophyta; Magnoliopsida; Rosales; Rosaceae. The record is from RefSeq and is a predicted model, not a curated record.